UUUAACUUCAAGUGCUCCCUUCUUGGGGGUCCCGCGUCUCGCCGAACUUUUUCUUUUAAGAACAGGCGGAUGUCAGUGACAAGUUAAUAGCUCUCGCUGCGCUCCAAGGUUAAACAGAACCUCAUUUGUGCCCGGAGUCUCCUUCUACCGACCUGCCGGAGGCCGCCUGGGCAGGCACUCAACUAGCGAAGGUGCCUAGUGACAUGGCUCUAAUCCUCGGAUCGGAACUGGUACUUCUGCCUGGAAGACUGGGCCGGCUUUGCCAUUCCUCUCAGCGGUCCCGAAAAGCCAAUCCGUUCUGAGCUACACUGAUGGCGGGGCUGGAGGAGGAGGGCUACUUUCAACUUCUGGCACCACCUGGGUGGUCGCCAUAAAGAAUACUCUACUGAAGUCGAGCAUAAUCCACACAAAACAACAAAGAACAACAACAACAAAAAAAACAACCCACUGUGCAAAGUCAACACAGCAGUGUGGAAUACAGUGAAACCCAUUAUGGACUGUGAUGGGCCUUCCAAGGCCCAUGUAACCUGGUGGGAACUGGUGGAGAGGACCAUGAAUCAAUUUACUCUAUUCUCAAGAAUAAGAAGUAGCCUAAGCCACAGAUCCUCUUUGGAAAGUUUUUUUCUAGGUUGGCAAUGCUUUCUUACACUCACUAUAAAUAAUUAUGAUCACUUGUCUGUGAAUGAACAACUAGUAGGUACCUCCAUGACUUACUCUUUGAAUGCCCAGCUGCUAGCCUAAGGCCACAAGCAGCAGACAUUAUGCACUUUUACUGAAUGAAUAAUCAGUCUAGGACCAAAUAUCUGAUUCAAAGGGCACUAGGUGAAAAGCAUCAUGACAAACAGUGCUGUUACUGUGGUUAUUUUCUGUAAGUCUAUCUUAUUUAAGAAUAACUUCCCCUGUAUGCCAUAGGGAGAACUCUCUUUGAACAAUGGUUCUGUGUGUCAUAUAUUUUGUUAUUGCUAGACUUCCAAGAUAUUUAAUCACUUCUAUUUGCAAUGAAUGUGCUAAUCAGAAGAAUGUCUCAAGUAAAUUUGUGUAUUUCCCCAUUGGGUCACAUUGUAAUUUCAGAGAUAUUUUAAUUUUAUUCUAAUCAAGGGACUUUAGUUUCAAUGUGUUUGUCAUUCUCUCAAGAAGAUACAUUCAGAAUGUGUUUGUAAUGUAAAUUCUCACCCCCUAAUUUAUAUGUUGUCAAGUUUGGGUUUUAGUAUACUGUAUUUGACUUUCUUAAAGCAGGGCACACCUGAAUAAGCUUUGGGGAUAAAAGGAAUACAAAAAAAAUUGUGAGCAAAACAUCUGAUAUAGUUUUACUUGCAAAGUUCAAAUUUUCUGAAUGGGAUCAAGAUGGCAUGGCUUGAAAUGUGGCUGAAGGGAAUAAGAGAAAUAUGGGAAAUGUCUACAUAUCUGAAAGCAGUAGUGAUGAAGGUCUUAUACCAUAUUUCCUUGUGUAUUUCUCCUUAGAUAUUUCCACACAUGCACAAACACAUUGAAGAAAGCACAUGGAGAAUUGCCCUGUCUCUUCCCUAGAAUCAUUACUGUCCCAUACAUUCUUCUGUUAUGCG
Long non-coding RNA from Phyllostomus hastatus (greater spear-nosed bat), 1562 nucleotides. RefSeq lists it as uncharacterized. NCBI's taxonomy places the organism in Eukaryota, Metazoa, Chordata, Mammalia, Chiroptera, Phyllostomidae. The transcript is spliced from 3 exons. The record is from RefSeq and is a predicted model, not a curated record.